Rhipicephalus microplus (southern cattle tick) is the source of this 500-nucleotide long non-coding RNA. The record is from RefSeq and is a predicted model, not a curated record. Lineage: Eukaryota; Metazoa; Arthropoda; Arachnida; Ixodida; Ixodidae.
CCGCUGAACACGUCUGCCCUGACAACAUGAGAAAAAUGAGUGUGAAGCUCGCAGUACAGCUGCUCAGCCGAAGUACGGCUAUCGGCCUUGAUGUGUACCGGAGACUCAAGCAAGAUGGCCUGGAAGACUGCGAGGGGACAGCCGCGUUUACCCCGCAUCAUAAAUGACCUUUUUGAUGCCCUGAACAUCAAGCUUCCUCGUUUUGGGAUAAGGAGCACAUCCAAGGAAAUUAAGGCAAGGGCGAUAAAUGUGCUACUUUUGAAAGAACAUUCGCAAUAGGUAAUGUUAAUCAGAACUGAGGCACUGGGCAUAUAAAUAAAAUACAAAACGCCGACAAACAUUUACACCAACAAAAGCCUAGUUUAAGUAGACAUUUAUUUUGUAAUUGAAGGAAGGUAUUAUUGAAAGAAAGACGACGAAUAAAGUUCGUGGAACUUAGAACUUCUCCUUCCAGAUAACUGAAUAAACGUCGAUGAGAAGGCGACACGCCGCAAGCGUGA